GUCUACGGCCAUGCCACCCUGAACGUGCCUGAUCCUGUCUGAUCUCGGAAGCUAAGCAGGGUCGGGCCUAGUUAGUACUUGGAUGAGAGACCACCUUGGAAGACCAGGUGCUGUAGGCG
Non-coding RNA from Pteropus alecto (black flying fox), 119 nucleotides. The record is from Rfam. NCBI's taxonomy places the organism in Eukaryota, Metazoa, Chordata, Mammalia, Chiroptera, Pteropodidae.